UUUUUAUUCGUUUUUGUCCGUUCCAUCCAGACAAACAAAAAAUAUGCAUAGCAGACAUCACUGACAUGAUAUAUAUAUCACAGACAUCACAUACAUAUCACAAACAUCACAUAAGUCAUAGUAUAUCACAAUAAGUUCACAAGUAAUCCCAGUGCUCCAUCAUUCACCAUAAGAAGCGCAAAUAAAAGUACCAUUAACAACUACAAGUAUCAUCACGGA
RNAcentral lists this long non-coding RNA (219 nucleotides) under Sorghum bicolor (sorghum). RNAcentral describes it as "long non-coding RNA (SBIC_LNC003217)". The record is from RNAcentral. Lineage: Eukaryota; Viridiplantae; Streptophyta; Magnoliopsida; Poales; Poaceae.